RNAcentral lists this ribosomal RNA (433 nucleotides) under uncultured bacterium. Its description in RNAcentral is "partial 16S ribosomal RNA". It matches the Rfam family "Bacterial small subunit ribosomal RNA", at positions 29 to 507 of the family's 1533-position model. The record is from RNAcentral.
AACGAACGCUGGCGGCAUGCCUAACACAUGCAAGUCGAACGAGACCUUCGGGUCUAGUGGCGCACGGGUGCGUAACGUGUGGGAACCUGCCCUUAGGUUCGGAAUAACUCCCCGAAAGGGGUGCUAAUACCGGAUAAUGUCUUCGGACCAAAGAUUUAUCGCCUUUGGAUGGGCCCGCGUUGGAUUAGCUAGUUGGUAGGGUAAAAGCCUACCAAGGCGACGAUCCAUAGCUGGUUUGAGAGGAUGAUCAGCCACACUGGGACUGAGACACGGCCCAGACUCCUACGGGAGGCAGCAGUGGGGAAUAUUGGACAAUGGGCGAAAGCCUGAUCCAGCAAUGCCGCGUGAGUGAUGAAGGCCUUAGGGUUGUAAAGCUCUUUUACCCGGGAUGAUAAUGACAGUACCGGGAGAAUAAGCUCCGGCUAACUCCGUG